AGCAGCCGCGGUAAUUCCAGCUCCAAUAGCGUAUAUUAAAGUUGUUGCAGUUAAAAAGCUCGUAGUUGAAUUUCGGGGUCAAUAAGUUGGUCAUGCCAAUGGUAUGCACUGGCUUUAUUGAUUCCUACCUCUUGACGAACUGUGAUGCCAUUAAUUUGGUGUUGCAAGGAAUCAGGACUGUUACCUUGGAAAAUUAGAGUGUUUAAAGCAAGCUUACGCUUGAAUACAUUAGCAUGGAAUAAUGAAAUAGGACGUUUGAUCCUACUUUGUUGGUUUCUAGGAUCGACGUAAUGAUUAAUAGGGAUAGUUGGGGGCAUUAGUAUUCAAUUGUCAGAGGUGAAAUUCUUGGAUUUAUUGAAGACUAACUACUGCGAAAGCAUUUGCCAAGGAUGUUUUCAUUAAUCAAGAACGAAAGUCAGGGGAUCGAAGACGAUCAGAUACCGUCGUAGUCUUAACCAUAAACUAUGCCGACUAGGGAUCGGAUGAUGUUAAUUUUU
RNAcentral lists this ribosomal RNA (497 nucleotides) under uncultured Glomus. RNAcentral's name for it is "SSU rRNA". It matches the Rfam family "Eukaryotic small subunit ribosomal RNA", at positions 569 to 1071 of the family's 1831-position model. The record is from RNAcentral. Lineage: Eukaryota; Fungi; Glomeromycota; Glomeromycetes; Glomerales; Glomeraceae.